UGGAAUAACACGAGGAAACUUGUGCUAAUACCGGAUAAGUCUUUACGGAGAAAGCUUUAUGCACCAUUGGAUGAGCCUGCACUUGAUUAGUUUGUUGGUGGGGUAAUGGCCUACCAAGACUGUGAUCAAUAGCUGAUUUGAGAGGAUGAUCAGCCACAUUGGGACUGAGACACGGCCCAAACUCCUACGGGAGGCAGCAGUGGGGAAUCUUGCACAAUGGAGGAAACUCUGAUGCAGCGAUGCCGCGUGAGUGAAGAAGGCCUUUGGGUUGUAAAGCUCUUUCGUCGGGGAAGAAAAUGACUGUACCCGAAUAAGAAGGUCCGGCUAACUUCGUGCCAGCAGCCGCGGUAAUACGAAGGGACCUAGCGUAGUUCGGAAUUACUGGGCUUAAAGAGUUCGUAGGUUGUUGAAAAAGUUGGUGGUGAAAUCCCAGAGCUUAACUCUGGAACUGCCAUCAAAACUUUUCAGCUAGAGUAUGAUAGAGGAAAGCAGAAUUUCUAGUGUAGAGGUGAAAUUCGUAGAUAUUAGAAAGAAUACCAAUUGCGAAGGCAGCUUUCUGGAUCAUUACUGACACUGAGGAACGAAAGCAUGGGUAGCGAAGAGGAUUAGAUACCCUCGUAGUCCAUGCCGUAAACGAUGUGUGUUAGACGUUGGAAAUUUAUUUUCAGUGUCGCAGCGAAAGCGAAUAAACACACCCGCCCUGGGGGAGU
This 710-nucleotide ribosomal RNA is filed under the name uncultured Pelagibacterium sp. Its description in RNAcentral is "bacterial SSU rRNA". It matches the Rfam family "Bacterial small subunit ribosomal RNA", at positions 139 to 881 of the family's 1533-position model. The record is from RNAcentral. Lineage: Bacteria; Pseudomonadati; Pseudomonadota; Alphaproteobacteria; Hyphomicrobiales; Devosiaceae.